Molecule: ribosomal RNA, 496 nt
Filed under: uncultured bacterium
Lineage: Bacteria
Description: partial 16S ribosomal RNA
Rfam family: Bacterial small subunit ribosomal RNA
Source: RNAcentral
GAUGAACGCUGGCGGCGUGCCUAAUACAUGCAAGUCGAGCGAACGGACGAGAAGCUUGCUUCUCUGAUGUUAGCGGCGGACGGGUGAGUAACACGUGGAUAACCUACCUAUAAGACUGGGAUAACUUCGGGAAACCGGAGCUAAUACCGGAUAAUAUUUUGAACCGCAUGGUUCAAAAGUGAAAGACGGUCUUGCUGUCACUUAUAGAUGGAUCCGCGCUGCAUUAGCUAGUUGGUAAGGUAACGGCUUACCAAGGCAACGAUGCAUAGCCGACCUGAGAGGGUGAUCGGCCACACUGGAACUGAGACACGGUCCAGACUCCUACGGGAAGCAGCAGUAGGGAAUCUUCCGCAAUGGGCGAAAGCCUGACGGAGCAACGCCGCGUGAGUGAUGAAGGUCUUCGGAUCGUAAAACUCUGUUAUUAGGGAAGAACAUAUGUGUAAGUAACUGUGCACAUCUUACGGUACCUAAUCAGAAAGCCACGGCUAACUACGUG